CAGGUGCGCGUCAGUUUGCCAACCCUUUGGUUGGCCCAUUUUUUUUUUUUGAAUUUGGUGUGAAGACAAGUAGGGGAGGUGAACCAACCACCACAUGCCCAAAUUUUUCUCAACCACAUUUCAUCGACUCUCAUAUUGCUUCUUCAAAAUCUUCUCUAUAAAUACUCGUCCAUACUUUGCUGUUGUACAUCCAGAAGAGAGUUGAAAUUUGCCCACAUCCAAAGAAAGCUAGCUCCAUAAUACACCUUCAUCCUUUCAAACCAUGGCUACGCAAUUUAUUACUGUUUCUCUGGUUUUAACAUUGUCGCUGUUGAGCAUGGAAGUGAGCCUGGCAGGUCGCCACCUUCUGGACACACCAGCCGCUCCAUCACCACCAACACUACCUCAAAUUCCAUCUCUUCCUAAGCCCACAUUGCCUCCGUUGCCAGCAACGCCUGCGCUGCCCACUACCCCAUUGCCAACACAACCAAAUGUCCCAACUGUGCCAAAGCCCACAUUGCCGCCGCUGCCAUCUCUGACAAACCCAACAUUGCCAACCAUCCCCACAAUUCCAAACCUGGCGCUUCCUCCGCUGCCCUCCUUCCCCACCUCCAUCCCCACCUCAAUCUCUUCAAUAUUCCCCAACAUUCCAACAUUUAAUUUCCUUACACCACCUCCAUCCACCACCACCACCAGCCCUUGAGUGGGCCCUGCCACACCUUAGCCGAGGGAGACUAGCUGGGUUCGUAUGUAUUUGGAAGGCUUCAGGAAAUCCUAAUACACUUUAUUGCAUGAGAGGUUGAUUUAUAUGUCAGGUCUUGUCCUGUAACAAUUCAUGGUCCCUGUGAGGGCUCUUUAUGUGUCUUUCUCUAUGUUGUUUUUCUUUUUCUCUCUAUACGAGUACGAUUCCUUGUGUUUCUUUUUUGUUUUACAUGAAUACGAUCCCUCUCUUUUUAUUUUUUAAUUUGAUUAUUGAACACUUUCUCAAGCAGUAAACAUGACACGAUAUUCAUUUUUACGUCAAAAUCUUUGAAGAGGGAAGAAGACAAUAUGAGAUGCAGACAGAGAAGAAAGGCAGUCCCAACUUGGUCUGCUGACCGUCUUAAGUGUGUACUAAUCUAAUAAUCCUGAUAAAACUUGAUUAAACCUUAAUUUCAUUUUCAUUUUCCUCGUCUACAUCAUCUUUAACUCCUUAAUCAUCAGCUUCGUCUUCCGUAUAAGUCUCAACAAAUACUCUUUUAGGUGGUGUUUGUUUUUUUACUUAAUUCUAAAUAGAACCUUAAUGCUUGAUAGUGUUAAAUAUUAGGUUGUUUGUUUUUAUAGUAUUUUAUUUCUAUUAAGUAUUAAAAAGUAAAAAAAAUUAAUAUGUUAUUUUUUCUAUUUAGAAAAAACUAUAUAUUUUGGUUUUUUCUAUUUAGUAAAAAGUUUAUAAUAAGUCAUGAAAAAGUAGAAAAAUAAAUAAUUUAAAUUCUAAAACUAAAUUACUUUCAAUAAAAAGCCAAAAAAACAAACAUCACCUUAGUGUCACAUUAAGGCACGUAAAUCAAUUUUUCGAUGCCUCAUCUCUAAAUAUUAUCAAAUGAUAUGUUGGGAUUUGUAAAGCAAUUACAAUAAAAUAAUUAUUAAAAAGUCCAUCCAGAGUUAUCAAUCAAUAACAACAACUUGUAUAGGUAAGAAUCUCAUGUAUGAUGAUAAUGGUAUCUUUUGUACAAUUUUUUUUCAUGGGUUAAUAAUUAUAAUUUAAUGUAAUUUACUUAAAAUUAAUAAAAAAAAAAGUUUAUAACAACCGAUCCAUUUUUAUAUUUAAGAAUGAAUUAUUCAAACAAGGUUAAAAUUUAAAUAUAAAUAAAUAAUUUACCUAAACAAGCAAAGUGAUUGAGAUGUACAUCUUAUAAUUAUUUUUUAUGAAGGUUGAAGAGGUUGAAGAUCUAUUUGGUGACAAAAAACACACUCUUUUAAGGAAGGAUGUUUUUUUUAUUUCAUGCCAAUACAAAGUUGCAAGUCAAAUAUUAUGUUAAAACUAUUUUUUUAAAAAAAUUAAUAAAAAGUUUAUCUUGUUUGUAAAAAUAAUGGUUCUAAUUCAUUUUAUAUUAUUUCAUGUAAAUAUAAAAUUGUGAAUAGGAGAUCGUGUUAAAAGAAAUUUAGAAGUUAUUUAGUAAAAAGUUUAUUUUGUUUAUAAAAAUAAUAAUUCUAAUUCAUUUUUUUUCAAAAUGAUUAUAAUAUUAAUGCAUUAAUGUCAAUUAUAUUUUUUUGAAUCUUAAUCAUAUUAUUUAUAUCUGGAUCGUAUAGUUUGUACUCACAUCCUAUUAUUCAUACUUUAAUUUUAACUCAUAAUAUUCGUAUUUGAGUCAUAUUAUUUAUACUUUGGUUAUAUGAUUCGUUUCUUCAUCAUAUUUUUUGUAUUUUUGUCACAUUGUUUGUACGAUGAUAAUAUGUUUAGUAUCUUUGUAACAUUUUUCAUACUGUGAUGAUAUUAUUUGCAUUGUAAUUCUUUUAAAUCCAUGAUUUUAGGUUGUAGUAAAGAAAUUUACAUCACAUACUUCUUUGUACAUCUCGUGUAUAUAUACUGAUUAGUCGUGUAAUGAAGGGCAGGUGGUACAUCAAAACCUCAAGCGGCUUUGGAAUGAUCUAUGAGUCCUACCAUGAAGCAAUCCAUGUGUCAAAAUUUUAGAAGAUAAUAACCCAACAAGCUGAAAAGUUCUAGCAGUAUACAUAAGUGAGCUCAGGUUUGCGUCAGUUUGCCAACCCUAAUUGGUUGGUUUUAUUUUGAAUUUGCUGUAAGACAAGUAGGGGAGGUGAACUAACCACCACUCCUCCAAAUUUCUCUCAACCACAUCUCAUCAAUCUCUUAUAUUGCUUCUUCAAAUUCUUCUCUAUAAAUACCCGUCCAUACUUUGUUGUUGUUUAUCCAGAACAGAGUUGAAAUUCGUCCACAUCCAAGGGAAGCUAGCUCCAUACACUUUUAUCUUUUUAAACCAUGGCUAGGCAUUGUCUUAUUGUAUCUCUGGUUUUAGCAUUGUCACUGUUGAGCAUGGAUGUGAGCCUGGCAGGCCGCCACCUUUUGGACAUACCAACAGCUCCACCACCAGCACUAACACUGCCUCAAACUCCAUCUCUUCCUAAGCCCACAUUGCCUCCCUUGCCAGCAAUGCCUGCGCUGCCCACCACCCCAUUGCCGACACUGCCAAGUGCCCCAACUCUGCCAAAGCUCACAUUGCCGCCGUUGCCAUCUUUGCCAAACCCAACAUUGCCAACCAUGCCCACAAUUUCAAAGAUGACGCUUCCUCCGCUGCCCGCCAUCCCCACCUCAAUUCCUUCAUUCCCCACCAUUCCAACAACAAUCCCAACAGUUCCUUUCCUUUCACCACCUCCAUCCACCACCAGCCCUUAGAGUGGCCCCGCCACACCUUAGUCCUGGGAGACAAGCUGGAUUCACAUGUGUUUGGAAGGCUUCAGGAAUUCCCAUAUAAUUACAUUCUAUUGUCUGAGACGUUUGACUCAUUUGUGAGGUCUUGUAACAAUUCAUGGUCUAUGUGGGGGUUUUCUGCGUUUCUUUUUAUUCUAUAUGAAUACGAUUCCUUGUAUUUCUUUUUGUUCUAUAUGAAUACGAUUCCUUGUAUUUCUUUUUAUUCUAUAUGAAUACCAUUCCUCUCUUUGUUUAAUUUGAGUAUUGAACACCUUCGUAAUCGGUAAACAUGGCACAAUAUUCAUUUUUACGUCAAAAUCUUUAAGUGGGAAGAAGACAAUAUGAGAUGCUGACAGAGAAGAAAGGCAGUCCCAACUUGGUGAUCUGCUGACCGUCCAAGUAUAAGGGUAUGCUAUAAUGAACUUCAAGGAUUCCUUGUGUCCCAUGGCUUCAUGAAUUCCAAGUCUAACUUGUCACUAUUGUUGGUGUCAAGCCAACUGAAUUCAGGUCCGUCCAAUUUCACUAGAGUCAGACGGAUUUCUUCCCUACACAGAAGGAUGUUCGGACAGGUGAUCCAGGCACGCCCCUCCGAAGCUUAGGUAAAAAAUAUUCAACGAGAAUAACUCUAAUUAUUUUUUGUGGGAGAGAAUGAACGUUUGUACUUUGUUCGUGCUUCUUGAGGGGUUUAUAUAGAGUUGAUGACAUCGUCAUUAUAACGUUGAUUAUGCACUCUUGCCUUUCUUGUAAUGAUGAUUGUUCGACAGAAAUCAAGCCUUGAUAGGACAGUCAACGUUGUCACUGCUGCAUGGACUAGGCAAUCACAUCAAGUAAGGGCUGCUGACUGGUGCCAUUUGCUGAAUGUGGUGUCAAAAUCUUGAACCAUGUAGUUGACUAUCCAUUUAGCUUGCCAAUAUUUGGGAUUGUGCGUAACAAUUAAUUGAUAUUGACUUUUAGGUGUAAAUAACGUUUAGUCCGCUGAUCAGACAUUAGGUGUCUAGGUCGUCGCUCAGAUAUCAAACGUCUAGUCCGGCACUCAGACAUCACAUAUCUAGGUUGGCACUCAGACAUCAAACGUCUAGGUUGGCACUCAGACAUCAAACGUCUAGGUUGGCACUUAGACAUCAGACGUGGUUGAUCAGACAUGCUAGAAAUCUUGAGGACUUGACUAGAUUGAUUUGCUCGAUAAGUCCAACCGACUUGGUCUGUUCAUUCUAUUUGGUGCUAGAUAUAGUUUAUCUUGGUCCAGAUAGAGUGAUCCUAGACGGGUUAUAUUUUUGCCCUGAUAAGCUAAAGAGUUUUGAUUAUGAGAAGACAUACACGUGGAAGGAAGCCCCUUGCAACUAUUUAUUGAUAAACGUACACUUUUCUUUCUUGUUUAUAUUGACAACAUAUUUAUCAUGGGUACCUCAAUUACAUUUCUCACUCACUUCAUUGGUGUCUUAACAUAAAAGUUUUAUAUCUUGGCCCACUAAGCUAUUUUCUCGGUGUUGAAACUGCUUUCACUUAGAAUGAUUUGUUCUUAUCCCAACAUAAAUAUAUUAGUGACCUACCCGAGAAGAUGAACAUGCUUGAAAAUGAGGAAGUAUUUUUUUUCUUACUCGCUUAACAUCUCCUUCGUUGUUAACAAAUUAUCCAAUCCUUGACUCAUUAGACAUCAUUGCAACGUGUUCUUCGCUACUUGAAAAGAACUUUGUACCAUGGGAUCCUCAUUAGAUGAACCUACUUUAUUAAUCUUCAUGCGUCUACAAGAACUUGACAAGUGAUGUCAAUGAUCACACCUUCACUUUUGCCUAUGUUUUGUUCCUUAUGCUACUCCCAUCGAUUGGAGCUCUAAAAAGGGAAAAACCAUUGCUCGCUGUUCCAUGGAUGCUGAGUAUCACAUGGUUGCCUCCACUACAGUAGAGAUAAACUGGAUUCAAAACUUGUUACGAGAGUUUCAUGCACCAUUGCCAGCUACACCAGUUAUCUACUAUGAUAAUGUAGCGACUAAAUACUUUGCGACAAUCGCAUCUUCCAUUCCUGAAAGAAGCCCAUCACUAUCGACUUCCAUUUUGUUUGUAGCCAAGUGUCCAAAUAACAACUUUGAGUCUCAUGGCCAUCCUGCUAAUUAACUUGCAGAUUUGUUAUAAAUCCUUUCUCUCGUUAGUCAUUUAUUCGCCAACGGUACAAGAUUGGAGUUCACAAUGAAACCACAAUCUUGUGCGGGAAUGAAAGAACAUAAUCCCACCGUACUAUGAUUCUCAUCUCUUUUGGAAAAUAUUUUUGAAUUAUAAUUAUUUAAAAUUAAUUCCCAUGAUUUUAGGUUGUAAUUAGGGAAUUGACAUCACAUACUUCUCUGUAUAUGUAUAUCACAUGUACAAGCAUAUAGUCACUCUUUUAUGUAAUGAAAGGCAAGACCAUUCAGCAAAACCUCAAGCCGCUUUAGUAUGAUCUAUAGAUUCUACUGUGAAUAAAUCCAUUUCAAAAUUUUAAAAGAUUAUUACCCAUGGGUCAAAAAGACUCAAAUCUCAAACAACAAACUGAGCAAUUCUAGCGGUAUACACAAGUGAGCUCAGGUUUGCGUCAGUUUGCCGACCCUUUUGGUUGGUUUUCUUUUGAAUUUGAAGUAACACAAGUAGGGGAGGUGAACUAACCACUUCUUUUCCAUAUUUCUCUCAACCACAUCUUAUCAAACUCCUAUUGCUUCUUCAAAACACACUCAGAAAUCCUUCAAAAGCUUAUCUAUAAAUACUCGUCCAUGCUUUGCUGUUCUGCAUCCAGAACAAAGUUGAAAUUUUCUCACAUCCAAGGGAAGUAGCUCCACAAACCUUGUAUCUUUUAAAACCAUGGCUAUGCAUUGUAUUACUGUAUCUCUGGUUUUAGCAUUGUCACUGUUGAGCAUAGAUGUGUCCCUGGCGGGUCGUCACCUUCUGGACACACCAGCAGCUCCACCACCAGCAUUAACACUACCUCAAAUUCCAUCUCUUCCUAAGCCGACAUUGCCUCCUUUGCCAGCAAUGCCUACGCUGCCCACUACCCCAUUGCCAACGUUGCCAAGUGUCCCAACUCUGCCGAAGCCCACAUUGCCCCCGCUGCCAUCCCUGCCAAACCC
Molecule: long non-coding RNA, 6476 nt
Filed under: Vitis vinifera (wine grape)
Lineage: Eukaryota; Viridiplantae; Streptophyta; Magnoliopsida; Vitales; Vitaceae
Description: long non-coding RNA (VVIN_LNC007289)
Source: RNAcentral